UGGUAAUAUUUAUUGUGAUUCAUCGUUUCAGGACGCUCAGGGUGUGGCAAAGGUGACAAGAAAAAAACAGAGUGCGAAAUGUUUGCUAAAUGUUGGUGGACGCCUGCGAGGGUCGGUCUUACGAGCGGGUUUACAAGUUUGACUGUAUUUUUCAUCCUAUGUUGUCUUGGGUGGAAAUAUUGUUGCGCGCCGAGAGCUAAAGUUGGGUAUGAACAAGAUGACGACGACGAAGAAGUUUACAAUUACGACGGCAAAGUUGGUGCUGUUCACAAUAUCAUGAAAAACCACAACAUAGACCACAUGCCGGCCGAACAUCCAGCCCCACAGGGAAUUAAUUCGAUAAUCCUGAACAAGCGGGAUAACUCGUGGAUGACUCCUGAAGAACUUAGUUUCAGUGCCAGAUACGCGUACAAGCACUAAACACUGCAUAACAAUUAUAAAACACUGCAUUACAAU
Molecule: long non-coding RNA, 456 nt
Organism: Ruditapes philippinarum (Manila clam)
Lineage: Eukaryota; Metazoa; Mollusca; Bivalvia; Venerida; Veneridae
Exons: 3
Source: RefSeq, a predicted model, not a curated record